RNAcentral lists this unclassified non-coding RNA (380 nucleotides) under uncultured bacterium. Its description in RNAcentral is "contains 16S-23S intergenic spacer region". The record is from RNAcentral.
UCCGGUUUGGCACCGGCAGUCCCCCUAGAGUCCCCGGCAUGAUCCGCUGGUAACUAAGGGCGAGGGUUGCGCUCGUUGCGGGACUUAACCCAACACCUCACGACACGAGCUGACGACAGCCAUGCAGCAUCUGUGCUGGAACUCCGAAGAGGGGCCGAUGUUUCCACCGGCUUUCCCGUGCAUGUCAAGCCCAGGUAAGGUUCUUCGCGUUGCAUCGAAUUAAACCACAUGCUCCGCUGCUUGUGCGGGCCCCCGUCAAUUCCUUUGAGUUUUAGCCUUGCGGCCGUACUCCCCAGGCGGGGUGCUUAAUGCGUUAGCUGCGGCACGGGAGGAGUCGACACCUCCCACACCUAGCACCCAUCGUUUACGGCGUGGACUAC